RNAcentral lists this ribosomal RNA (422 nucleotides) under uncultured bacterium. RNAcentral's name for it is "bacterial SSU rRNA". It matches the Rfam family "Bacterial small subunit ribosomal RNA", at positions 355 to 786 of the family's 1533-position model. The record is from RNAcentral.
UGAGGAAUAUUGGUCAAUGGACGUGAGUCUGAACCAGCCAAGUCGCGUGAAGGAAGAAGGUUCUAUGGAUUGUAAACUUCUUUUAUACGGGAAUAAAGUGCGCCACGUGUGGUGUUUUGUAUGUACCGUAUGAAUAAGCAUCGGCUAACUCCGUGCCAGCAGCCGCGGUAAUACGGAGGAUGCGAGCGUUAUCCGGAUUAUGUGAUGAGCUAGGUUGUUUUAGUCAGCGGUGAAAGUUUGUGGCUCAACCAUAAAAUUGCCGUUGAAACUGGAAGACUUGAGUGUGUUUGAGGUAGGCGGAAUGCGUGGUGUAGCGGUGAAAUGCAUAGAUAUCACGCAGAACUCCGAUUGCGAAGGCAGCUUACUAAACCAUAACUGACACUGAAGCACGAAAGCGUGGGGAUCAAACAGGAUUAGAUACC